Molecule: RNA transcript, 1025 nt
Organism: Drosophila guanche
Lineage: Eukaryota; Metazoa; Arthropoda; Insecta; Diptera; Drosophilidae
Gene: Archease
Gene name: protein archease-like
Exons: 4
Source: RefSeq, a predicted model, not a curated record
CUGUCGCUGCUUGUGCAGCUCUAAUACCAUUAGUCACUUGUUAUUGUUUUUUAGCCGCUAAUGUUAAAUUAAGAUAAAUAUGGAAGUAGAAUUCAGCAAAGAGAACUUCCUGCUGCCAGAGACAAAGUAUGAAUACCUGGACCACACGGCCGACGUGCAACUCCAUGCCUGGGGCACUACGCUGACGGAGGCCUUCGAGCAGUGCGGCGUGUCCAUGUUCGGAUACAUGACGGAGCUGGAGUACGUGUCCGUGGAGAGCUGCUAUGAGAUCGAGGCCAAGGGCGAUGAUCUGGAGGGACUAUUGUUUCACUUUCUCGACGAGCUGCUAUUCCUGUUCUCCUGUGAGCCGAAUCUGGUGUGCAAGAAACUGGAAAUCACCAAAUUCGAUCUGGAGACCUUCGAGAUUGUCUGCCGCUGCUACGGCGAACCAUUCGAGCUGGGCAAACAUCCUCAGGGCACCGAGGUGAAGGCAAUAACCUACUCGGCCAUGCAAAUCGUACAGGACGCGGACAACAGCAACUUCGAAGUGUUUGUUAUAAUUGAUAUUUGAGCAAAGCUGUCGCCAGUGCAAGCGGAUCCCCCCGGAUAUCCAGUGACUUUUUCGUUUAGCUGGUAUGUCGAUUGCAUUUACUCCCUCCUUGUCUCCAUUAAUCAUAAGUGAAAUGCCAAAAACAAAAAAACUCACAAAAAGCUGCACAAGCCCCGAAAUAUCUGCACUCUGGCGACCGGCGACUGCAUCCAUCCCCUGUCUGCGGUGAGAGGUGAGGUUUGGCGACGUGUGAGAGAGGAGUGGAUGAUGACUUAUCAAAAAACCAUUCAAUUGUGCGGCGGCUGCUGCUGCUGCUGAUGCUUGCAAAUGCAAUUAAGACUUUUGGUCCUUUGUGAGUCCAGCGUCUGGGGGGUUUCUGGAUUUACUUUACCCUUUUUUUUUUGGUUGGCGCAAUUUUUUAGGCUUUGUGAAUUUACAACGUGUUGUAUUCCCAGACAAGGCAGCCCAAUUCCCAGGGCACAGUUCAAUGCACUUU